This 822-nucleotide ribosomal RNA is filed under the name Apteroscelio sp. OSUC 181537. RNAcentral describes it as "partial 28S ribosomal RNA". It matches the Rfam family "Eukaryotic large subunit ribosomal RNA", at positions 394 to 955 of the family's 3401-position model. Lineage: Eukaryota; Metazoa; Arthropoda; Insecta; Hymenoptera; Scelionidae. The record is from RNAcentral.
AGUACGUGAAACCGUUUAGGGGUAAACCUGAGAAACCCGAAAGAUCGAAUGGGGAGACUCAUCGUCAGCGUGGUUGGCUUCCUUGCGGAUUGCGAUGUUUGAGGCGGUGCUUCGCGGCAUUCGUCGAUUUCACGCGUUCGCUGAGGCAUGUCCGGCCGCGUCGGCGUGCACUUCUCCUCUAGUAGAACGUCGCGACCCGCUGGGUGUCGGUUUAAGGGCCGAGGCCGUCGACUGUUCCGUCGCUUCACCGCGUCACGGUUACAGACGCUCGGACUCCCGACCGGCUGCUCGGCGGUACGCACACGGUAUCGAGCCGCACUCGAAUGCGUUCAGACUCGUCGCAAGCCCGACCACAUUUACCUGGAGGCGCGGACCUGGUGCCGUCCCCGGGGGUGGUUAGCUGUUGGCCGACGAUGUUCUCGGACUGGCUCUGUCGAAUGAAAUACCGGUCAGCGACGCUAUUGCUUUGGGUACUUUCAGGACCCGUCUUGAAACACGGACCAAGGAGUCUAACAUGUGCGCGAGUCAUUGGGAUAUUGAAACCUAAAGGCGCAUUGAAAGAGAAGAUCGGCCACGCGUCGAUCGAGGGAGGAUGGGUGGCGGUAAAACGUCGCCCCGCACUCCCGGGGCGUCUCGAAUGUCAUUGCGACAUGAGGCGCACCCAGAGCGUACACGUUGGGACCCGAAAGAUGGUGAACUAUGCCUGGUCAGGACGAAGUCAGGGGAAACCCUGAUGGAGGUCCGUAGCGAUUCUGACGUGCAAAUCGAUCGUCGGAACUGGGUAUAGGGGCGAAAGACUAAUCGAACCAUCUAGUAGCUGGU